UACCACUUCUUGCUCCUCAGCAGGCCACGUCACCCACCAGCAGCUGCCGUCCGAUCGCCGAGCCAUUGGCUGUGAUCGGUUGGAGCUGCUUCCGCAUGUAGCGGCUUCCCAUGGUCAUUGUUGCCCUCCUGACUUCUGCUACGAAAUUAAUCAGCCAGAUAUUUCGUGACUCAUCCAUCCUCUCUCUCUCUCCAGUCUCCCGAACCUUCCCCUCGCGCAAUCCCGACCAAGGCGCCGCCGCUCCCAGCCACUGCCUCCGGCGCCGCUCUGAGCGGCCGCGCUCCCGAGCGCCAUCCGCCCCACCGGCCCCCCAACCCGCACAGAGGUUGCGAGCCCGCCGCUGGUGGCCACGGUGCCGCGAGGCCGCAUCUCCGCCCUCACCGGCUCAGAUUCGCCAGGUGCUCCGUCUGUCCCAGCGCCGCGCACUCCACCCCUGCCUCUUCCUUGCUCUGACGUCCCAACGCUGUGAUGCGCUACCUCGGAGCCCCAGCGCAAGCAGACCCUAGCGGAGCAGCUCGGGCGCCGGCGUCUCCCUUGGUCCCACUCCCGUGUCCGUGUCGAGCCGGCGAUGCCCCGCCAGUGCCUUUAGGCCGUGCGAACGUCCUCCAGGUUCCAGCAUCCAGCCAAGCUCUGCCAGCCGCCGGGAUUCCUGGGCACCUCUGUCGUGUACACUCAUAUGCUUCAGAUGCCGGCUGCAAUUUGUGAUUCACCAUAUUAAAUGGGGCUUAUGCCGCAUCUGUUGCCACGGAGUCCGCUGCCUAAACUGAAGGGGAGUUGCCUACCUAAACUCAAUGGUACAAAUAUUAUUGUUCAACUAUUCACAGGCAUCGUCUAUUCUACUUACAGACUCAUUUCUCGAAUCAGAGCAUCCAGAAAUUUAAACCAACAUAUCUUGCUGUUAUUUCAGCAGUUCACAGCCAAACAGCUGAGUAUGCCUCUUCAAUUAAUCUGAAGGUGCCUCAGGUGGCAUAAUGACCUGUAAAUCUGGAGCUGCUCCUUGAUGAAAAGUGUGACAGCAAGGUGCCACCAUCAAAUCAUCUCUGCAAGAUAUCAUUUCAAGAAUAGUCUGUUCACGUGCGAAACAUUAGGUUCUGUGAUCUGUUCACUCUUUAUCCUUUAUUUAAUACAUAAUACUUCAAAAAAAUGUAAUUGGGAGUUUCAAUAAUCUUUCUGUAUGCCCAUAAUUACAGUAAGUAUUACCAAACAUACCACGUGCAAUGCGCGGGGGGACUGCCUA
This is a long non-coding RNA of Panicum virgatum (switchgrass), 1237 nucleotides long. RefSeq lists it as uncharacterized. The transcript has 5 exons. The record is from RefSeq and is a predicted model, not a curated record. Lineage: Eukaryota; Viridiplantae; Streptophyta; Magnoliopsida; Poales; Poaceae.